This 256-nucleotide ribosomal RNA is filed under the name uncultured bacterium. Its description in RNAcentral is "partial 16S ribosomal RNA". It matches the Rfam family "Bacterial small subunit ribosomal RNA", at positions 524 to 776 of the family's 1533-position model. The record is from RNAcentral.
GACAUAGGUGGCAAACGUUAUCCGGAAUCAUUGGGCGUAAAGGGUGCGUAGAUGGCCUGAUAAGUUAGCAGUGGGAAAUCGAGGCUCAACCUCGUGGAAGCUGGUAAUACUGUCAGGCUCGAGUGCAGGAGAGGUUAACGGAACUCCAUGUGGAGCGGUAAAAUGUGUAGAUAUAUGGAAGAACACCAAUAACGGCGAAGGCAGUUAACUAUUCUGUUACUGACAUUGAGGCACGAAAGCGUGGGGAGCAAAGCGG